Long non-coding RNA from Dermacentor silvarum, 739 nucleotides. RefSeq lists it as uncharacterized. The record is from RefSeq and is a predicted model, not a curated record. Lineage: Eukaryota; Metazoa; Arthropoda; Arachnida; Ixodida; Ixodidae. The transcript is spliced from 3 exons.
UUCUGUGCCGAAUGUUGUUCGUUGGCAGUGCAGCCAGAGAUCUCAACGAAGCGUCGAGCGGAAUGGUUUCGUCGCCUCUACCGGGGUGACAUUAACACAGACGCUACCCACUACAAAGUCUGCAGCGAGCACUUCGUUUCUGGCAAGCCAUCCUACUUAAUGGAUCUGACGAAUCCGGACUGGGCGCCAAGCUUGCACCUAGGGUAUGACACAAAGUCAACAACUCGGUCUGAAGAAAGGCACCAGCGACGUUGCAAGAGGGCUGCGACUCCAAAGGAGGUCCAAAAGGCCGAUAGCAGAGUGCUGCGACCCUUGACUACAAUGUUGAAUGCGCAGCAGAGCGCUGUGAACAGUACUGUCACAAGUAAAAUGGCUUAUUCAUACAAGGGGAAUAUUUUCUUUAAUGACAUUCAGCAUCUUAACAUUUUUGUUUUUAUGCAGGCACACCACUUGCAAGCUGGCAUCCAGGAAGAUUCUUUCAAGAUGACUAUCUGCUGGUGUCCACACAAAAAAGUCGCAAUAGCUGCGCUGGCAAACAAAAAGCUGCAUUUGUAUUUGCGUGUAGUAAGCAUGUUGUCGUUUCAGCUUCAGUGUAUUAUCACUAGCAGCAACUUCUAAGCAGCCACUUUUCUGGGUCACAACGUCAUUUACACAAGCAGCUGAAUAUGGGCACUUAAUUUCUAAAACAUCAUCUUGGCAGCAGGCACAAGAAAUCAGGCCAUCUGGGCUUGCUGCCAUG